AAAUUGAAGAGUUUGAUCAUGGCUCAGAUUGAACGCUGGCGGCAGGCCUAACACAUGCAAGUCGAACGGUAACAGGAAGCAGCUUGCUGCUUCGCUGACGAGUGGCGGACGGGUGAGUAAUGUCUGGGAAACUGCCUGAUGGAGGGGGAUAACUACUGGAAACGGUAGCUAAUACCGCAUAACGUCGCAAGACCAAAGAGGGGGACCUUCGGGCCUCUUGCCAUCGGAUGUGCCCAGAUGGGAUUAGCUAGUAGGUGGGGUAACGGCUCACCUAGGCGACGAUCCCUAGCUGGUCUGAGAGGAUGACCAGCCACACUGGAACUGAGACACGGUCCAGACUCCUACGGGAGGCAGCAGUGGGGAAUAUUGCACAAUGGGGGAAACCCUGAUGCAGCCAUGCCGCGUGUAUGAAGAAGGCCUUCGGGUUGUAAAGUACUUUCAGCGGGGAGGAAGGCGACAGGGUUAAUAACCCUGUCGAUUGACGUUACCCGCAGAAGAAGCACCGGCUAACUCCGUGCCAGCAGCCGCGGUAAUACGGAGGGUGCAAGCGUUAAUCGGAAUUACUGGGCGUAAAGCGCAUGCAGGCGGUCUGUUAAGCAAGAUGUGAAAGCCCGGGGCUCAACCUCGGAACAGCAUUUUGAACUGGCAGACUAGAGUCUUGUAGAGGGGGGUAGAAUUUCAGGUGUAGCGGUGAAAUGCGUAGAGAUCUGAAGGAAUACC
Molecule: ribosomal RNA, 720 nt
Filed under: Cutibacterium porci
Lineage: Bacteria; Bacillati; Actinomycetota; Actinomycetes; Propionibacteriales; Propionibacteriaceae
Description: bacterial SSU rRNA
Rfam family: Bacterial small subunit ribosomal RNA
Source: RNAcentral